Molecule: non-coding RNA, 214 nt
Filed under: unclassified sequences
Description: IS605-orfB-I RNA
Rfam family: IS605-orfB-I RNA
Source: Rfam by way of RNAcentral
GUCCUAUACAGAUGUAUCAACGCAAGACAGUUGAGCAUCUCCCUUUAGGAUGUUGUUUAUCCAGAAGCUUCAGCAACAAUCUUUAUCGUGUGGCUCAAGUCGAAAUAAGGUGAGUUGAAGUGGAAUAGGUUAACCGUAAGACCUCGAGUUGAAAAACUCUAAAAUUGACCUAGAAAUGAAGUUGUAAAAUUUCGCUAUUUCUAGUUACGGUUGG